CCGGGGCUAAUACCGGAUAACAUUUUGAACCGCAUGGUUCGAAAUUGAAAGGCGGCUUCGGCUGUCACUUAUGGAUGGACCCGCGUCGCAUUAGCUAGUUGGUGAGGUAACGGCUCACCAAGGCAACGAUGCGUAGCCGACCUGAGAGGGUGAUCGGCCACACUGGGACUGAGACACGGCCCAGACUCCUACGGGAGGCAGCAGUAGGGAAUCUUCCGCAAUGGACGAAAGUCUGACGGAGCAACGCCGCGUGAGUGAUGAAGGCUUUCGGGUCGUAAAACUCUGUUGUUAGGGAAGAACAAGUGCUAGUUGAAUAAGCUGGCACCUUGACGGUACCUAACCAGAAAGCCACGGCUAACUACGUGCCAGCAGCCGCGGUAAUACGUAGGUGGCAAGCGUUAUCCGGAAUUAUUGGGCGUAAAGCGCGCGCAGGUGGUUUCUUAAGUCUGAUGUGAAAGCCCACGGCUCAACCGUGGAGGGUCAUUGGAAACUGGGAGACUUGAGUGCAAAAGAGGAAAGUGGAAUUCCAUGUGUAGCGGUGAAAUGCGUAGAGAUAUGGAGGAACACCAGUGGCGAAAGCGACUUUCUGGUCUGUAACUGACACUGAG
Molecule: ribosomal RNA, 608 nt
Filed under: Bacillus cereus
Lineage: Bacteria; Bacillati; Bacillota; Bacilli; Caryophanales; Bacillaceae
Description: bacterial SSU rRNA
Rfam family: Bacterial small subunit ribosomal RNA
Source: RNAcentral